UAGGGAAUAUUGGGCAAUGGAGGGAACUCUGACCCAGCCAUGCCGCGUGCAGGAUGAAGGCGUUAUGCGUUGUAAACUGCUUUUAUAUAGGAAGAAAUAGUCCUUGCGAGGAAAGUUGACGGUACUAUAUGAAUAAGCACCGGCUAACUCCGUGCCAGCAGCCGCGGUAAUACGGAGGGUGCAAGCGUUGUCCGGAUUUAUUGGGUUUAAAGGGUGCGUAGGCGGUUUAUUAAGUCAGUGGUGAAAGACGGUCGCUCAACGAUUGCAGUGCCAUUGAUACUGGUAGACUUGAGUAUGAUUGAGGUAGCUGGAAUGGAUAGUGUAGCGGUGAAAUGCAUAGAUAUUAUCCAGAACACCAAUUGCGUAGGCAAGUUACUAAGUCAUAACUGACGCUGAGCACGAAAGUGUGGGUAUCAAACAGGAUUAGAUACCCUUGUAGUCCCUGAGCGGGCUGGCAAGGCGCAU
This 465-nucleotide ribosomal RNA is filed under the name uncultured bacterium. RNAcentral's name for it is "bacterial SSU rRNA". It matches the Rfam family "Bacterial small subunit ribosomal RNA", at positions 355 to 825 of the family's 1533-position model. The record is from RNAcentral.